Solanum stenotomum is the source of this 276-nucleotide long non-coding RNA. RefSeq lists it as uncharacterized. The record is from RefSeq and is a predicted model, not a curated record. The transcript has 3 exons. Lineage: Eukaryota; Viridiplantae; Streptophyta; Magnoliopsida; Solanales; Solanaceae.
UUAACAAAAAUGGGUGAAAACUACUCAAGCAUGCUCAUUUGCUAUUCCAGCGUACACUGUGGACUGCUCUUAUAUAUAAAGGUUUAUACAUUUGGUGCAGGCGGAAUCAGUGGAUAAUUUUCUACAGUCAUUGGGUCUUGAGAAGUAUGCUAUUACAUUUCAAGCUGAAGAAGUUGAUAUGGCUGCUCUUGUGCACAUGACAGAUGAAGAUCUCAAAGCUAUAGGAAUACCAAUGGGUCCAAGGAAGAAGAUAAUAUUAGCACUGGAGACUAGAAU